AACUGAUACACCAGCUUAAGUGCAUUUGUAGCAAGGAGAUAUCUGUCAGCUCUGGUCACCAGGCUGGUGACCCUCCUGUCACCCAGGAAGCGCUCCUCUGCCCUUAACCUCAGUCCUCCCCAGGGAGGUGCCAGAGGAGGUCUGACAGCAGCCUUCACCUUUUGUAACCAAGCAAGCUGGCCUCACAAGGCACAGUGGUCUCCGUUACGGCUAGGUUCCUGAGAGUUCCAGGCUUCCUCGACAUGAGCAAGCUGGGCCACAGGGAGAUGCUGCUUUGCUGCUGAGUUACUGGCGUGGUUCUUCUCUCCUCCCUGGACCCCGACGGACCCAGAGCCCACUGCAGUUAUACACGGUAGAGAUGAGGACUCUCCAAGCAGAGCAGUGGGAGUGGGGUGGAGAAGAGCUGACAGACAGAAGCUAUUUGAAAGGUCUUGAUUACUGUUUGGGAGGACGGAGGGGGCCAGGACAGCUCCCGGGUCCCGCCUGGUGGAUUGUGGCGCCCCUUCACAAAAUGCAGGCUCUCUAGGAGGAGGGGUGGCGGGCUGGUGGUGGAGGUGAUCUAUUUGCUUUUGCAUUUGGUGAGGUUCCCACUGAGACACUGAGGGGCAGACAUCCCGUAAGCCAUUGGCUACCGGGUCUUGAGCUGAGGAGAGGGGUCUGCAUAGAGAUGCGGCUUUGGGCACGAUCAGCAUCUAGGUGGCAGCAGAAGCCACGGGCCUGGAUGCGUCUACCCAAGGAGACAAGCAGCACGAGAAGAAGACUCAGAAGGGACAGGCGGUGUGGUGGGAGGAGAGCUGGGAGGGUGAGAAGUUACAGAAAGUGAGGGACAAGGGAGGACCAAGAAGGUGGGUCAAGUGGAGCAGAGAAGCCAAGGAGGUGUAUUAAUCUGGUCUUUUUUUUUUUCUGGAUUCUGAUGCUUUGACACCUGGGGCCUUGCUGAUGCUGCAUGGACUGCCCCUGCCAGGACCCGCCAGUUCCAAAGACAGACCCUUGUGAUGACGCUGGGCCAGCAGAAUGAUCCAGAAUAAUCUCCCCGUCUCAAGAUCCUUAACUUCACCACAUCUGCAAUGUCCCUGUUGCCAGACGCUCCAGGGCACCGUACAGUGUGGUUGAAAGCGUGACCUGGCUGAAGUCAAACCCCGGCUCUGACAUUUACCAGGUGUGCAAAGUAUUGAGCAAAGCAUUUCUCUGUCCCUCAGUUUCUUCUUCCGUAUAGCGGGUUAAUAAGAGUACCCGUCCCCUAGGCUUGCUGUGAAGACGAAAUGAAGUGAUAUGUGUAAAAUGCUAAGCACACGCCUAGCAUGCAGUGCUUGCUCAGCAAAAUGAGCGAGGUCUAAGUGUUGUUUCCAGGAAGGUCUGGACUAAUCAUGGAGAUAAGUUCAAGAAUCUGCUUAAUAAACUGAGAGCCCACUUGAUCCUGAUUCUACGUUUCUGGCACAGAGUCUGAGAGAAUAGCGACAAAUAUAACAGAACUCUCUUCCUGUUUGAAAGUCAGCUGUGCCAUCUCGAGUGCGUUACUUCAUGUCUCUGAGGUUUCAGAGUCUUCAGCUGUGAAAUAGGCUAACCCAGCAGUUACCCCCGGAAUUGUGGCAAAGAUGAAGUGCCACCAAGCAUGUAAAGGAGGCAUUAGACAGCGGGAGCAGGAAUGACCAUCGCUCUUGUUAAGAACAAGCGAAA
Molecule: long non-coding RNA, 1677 nt
Organism: Equus caballus (horse)
Lineage: Eukaryota; Metazoa; Chordata; Mammalia; Perissodactyla; Equidae
Source: Ensembl